This is a long non-coding RNA of Sapajus apella (tufted capuchin), 1030 nucleotides long. RefSeq lists it as uncharacterized. NCBI's taxonomy places the organism in Eukaryota, Metazoa, Chordata, Mammalia, Primates, Cebidae. The record is from RefSeq and is a predicted model, not a curated record. The transcript is spliced from 2 exons.
UACUAAACCCUGGGCAAUCAUCUCUGCUAGGAACAGCUGUUCGUGGUGACUGCUGUGAAACCAACAGGAUGGCCUCUUUUCUAUUUAGUCCUAAGAGUGGGCAUAAAGUAAAAUAUUGUUAGGUACCUCCUUUGGAGUUCUAGACUCAGGAUGAGAUUACAGAAGAUAUGCUCAACAUCCUCCUUUGACCUGGUCCCAGUUUCACUAUAUUUGAUAGAUGCUUUACAGUCUCUGGUAAGGAGGUGUGCAAUUCUCUGAUUUUAUUAUAGUUUUUAGGGAAUUUUAUUUUGUACAUUUCAACCAAAAAAAUUACAUAAAUAACAGCUCCACUGAAAGCUGUAUUUUAAAUGAACAAAUAUUGGUACUUUGUGAACACAUGUGGUGCUUUUUUUUUUCUCUAAUUAUUGGCUAUCAAUCUUAUUUUACUAAAUAUAUACUGACAAAUUUAUUUUGGUCCAUUUAUUUGAGUUCAAAGACUAUUUCAUACUCUUCCCAGUGAAACAGUCAUGGGCCAUUGCUAUCUUCAAAAGAACUAAAUAUAUAAGUAGCAGCUCUCCUCAAAAAAGAUGACAAAGUCUUCUUUUCCCUUUAGAACAUAAAUUUCAGUGGCUGGUAAAACUAUUUUAGCAACAAUAUGCUCACUUCUUCUAUGAUAUGUUUUUCUUCUCUACUAAGUUCAAAGUUUCUCUCAGUAACCAUAGCAACUCAAAAUUGUUUCUCUACCUUACUGAAGUUGCCCUCUUCCACUGAUCAUUAGGACAUUAACUUUUAGAAUCAUUUGUUUUUGCCUCUUGUUUUGAAGGCAGCUUUUUAAUUUCCUCAAAUAAUUGCAAUGGAACAAAAAAUUGUUCUCUUUUUUACAUAUGUGCACUUUUAUAAGAGAUGUAAUGUUUGUAAAUAAAAGUUUUAAUUUAUCAAAAGCAUGUCUCUAAAAAUGUGAGGGUUAUAAAGAUUAAUAAUAGUAGAAAUAUCUGUGUACCAGCCACUCAGAAUAAUUCUAGUUAGAUAUAGUUAUUGUAAGGACAAAAAA